This 465-nucleotide ribosomal RNA is filed under the name uncultured bacterium. RNAcentral's name for it is "partial 16S ribosomal RNA". It matches the Rfam family "Bacterial small subunit ribosomal RNA", at positions 355 to 832 of the family's 1533-position model. The record is from RNAcentral.
UGGGGAAUAUUGCACAAUGGGCGAAAGCCUGAUGCAGCGACGCCGCGUGCGGGAUGAAGGCCUUCGGGUUGUAAACCGCUUUUGAUUGGGAGCAAGCGAGAGUGAGUGUACCUUUCGAAUAAGCACCGGCUAACUACGUGCCAGCAGCCGCGGUAAUACGUAGGGUGCAAGCGUUAUCCGGAAUUAUUGGGCGUAAAGAGCUCGUGGGCGGUUUGUCGCGUCUGGUGUGAAAGUCCAUCGCUUAACGGUGGAUCUGCGCCGGGUACGGGCAGGCUAGAGUGCGACAGGGGAGACUGGAAUUCCCGGUGUAACGGUGGAAUGUGUAGAUAUCGGGAAGAACACCAAUGGCGAAGGCAGGUCUCUGGGUCGUCACUGACGCUGAGGAGCGAAAGCGUGGGGAGCGAACAGGAUUAGAUACCCUGGUAGUCCACGCCGUAAACGGUGGAUGCUGGAUGUGGGGCCCCA